GUUAACUGCAGCAAAGACUUAAUGGUUGGGUUGAGCCCAUGGGGGCCCAUGGAGUCAUGUUGAAAGUGAAAUUUAGUAGACUCUGUUAUAGGCUCCUGUGAGCAGCAGAGAUUCAGAGUGGAAUGAACUCAGACGGUGAAGACACUCCGACCUCGGAAUCACAACCAUGAAUGCUAUAAAUGCUAUGCAACUGUUCUUUUUGGUUUGGACCUUUACUGCUGUCUGUCAAGCUGAUAAAGAUAUCAGUGUAAGCUGUGAAGAUGUGAAUGGAUCUGUGGGGAAAGAAGUCAAUCUCACCUGCAGCGUCAUUUUGCUGAUAAAUAAAUGCUGCAUUAAAAAUUAUAUGUUUGAAUAUAAAGACUCAAAAAUCUGUAGACAAGUGCUUCGUGAAUCCUGUGAA
Molecule: long non-coding RNA, 400 nt
Organism: Cyprinus carpio (common carp)
Lineage: Eukaryota; Metazoa; Chordata; Actinopteri; Cypriniformes; Cyprinidae
Exons: 3
Source: RefSeq, a predicted model, not a curated record